AUAAUUGUCUUGAGAGCUUCUGGUGGAAUGACUUGGCAGUUGUAAUUGUAGGACAAUCCAUCAGUCAUGUGGAGCUCAUCAUGCCUCGACGUCGGUGAAACAGGACACGAGAAUAUGUCCAGCGGCACAGGUGGUUUAUAGGUUGCGAAGAAAGCAAUGCUACCUUUCUUCUGACCUGCCAUACUGCCUGUCUUCUCUUCCGCAACCCAUAAUUCAUUAGAAGGCAUUUUUCCUUCAAGAGCUUCAACUAUCUGUUUCAUUCUUGGUCGAAGUUUAGAAGGUCUAUAUACGCUAAUAGCAGCACAAUAAAUCAUUCGCUCCAUUUCACUUUUUAUAUAAUCUCCCUUCAAUGCGGAAUCAACAAGACAACUGUAAUUGAUUUCAACUAAAUCUCCUUUGAACAUAAAAGGCUUUGCCUGAAUGAUACAAGUAUUAUACAAGUUUCAUAUUCUUAAAAAGUCAAUACUAAGAUAGAUUUGUCCAAGUAAAAUAAUUUACACCAUUAUAGAGAAAGAAUUUUUCAUACCUAGACCUGAUUCAUCAUACAACUAAGACAGAAAUAUGUGGAAUCCAUGUAUUUAAUAGGUGAAUUCCAAUAUACAUUUUGUGUUUUCGAUCCAUAGUGAACCGGGUCUAGGCAAUAAUUUUCAUAUAGAGAAGUAUCUUACCCAAUUGACAAUAUCAACUCGAUGUUCAUCGAAAAUUGUUCUUCCAGUAAUAAGUUCUAGAAGCACAACACCGAAAGAAUAAACAUCUGACUUUUCAGAAAUUUUUUGAAGAAUAUUUUCACCCUCUUGAGAAUAAUAAUUCUCUGGAUCUGCAUAAACAUUGGUUCCCUUCCAACGAGAGCUGAUGUGGGUGACACUAUUAGUUUCUGGAAAAAACUUGGCAAGUCCAAAAUCCGCAAUCUUUGGUUUAUAAUUAUUAUCAAGAAGUAUAUUUUCUGCCUUGAUAUCUCCGUGGAUGAUUUUAGGAUUACAUUCUUCAUGUAGAUAAGCCAAACCUUUUGCAGAACCUAUAGCAAUUUUCAUUCUUUCUGACCACUUCAAAUUUGAUCUUCGCUCUUCAUAAUUUAGAUGAAAUCUCAAGGAUUCGUUGAGAACAAACUCUGAAACAAGCAAUGUACCAUAUCCUGAAUGGCAGUAGCCGAUCAGCUUAACAAGAUUUUCGUGACGGACAUUGCCAACGGCAUUAAUCUCCUUCUCAAAUUCUUCUUGCUGCUGUCGAUCAAGGUAACAAAAGAGUCUCUUAAUGGCUACCGUUAUACCUUGCGGAAGGGUUCCCCAAUACACAGUACCAAAACCACCUUGGCCAAGUACACUGAAGUUGCUUAAAUGACCAGUUGCAAUUGCUAGUUCUGGAAAUGUAAAUUUCCUCAGUUCAUAUGCUUCGUAAUCCUUAGGUAAUGAUCGCAUUUCUCUAAACUGAGCAGGGAUCAUUGUUUCUAACGGAUCUCCCCCUAUUAAUGACUUGGAUUCCGAGGUUUCUGCAUUAACUUCAAAGAGAGAUGAGGCUGUUGCUUCUUGUGCAUCUAAUUCUAUUAAUGGUGGGCUAAAUUCUGCACUCUUCCCUGUGUGAAUCACACUGCUUAAGAUCUCGUUUUUAACAAAAUCAACAAUUAAACACGUUAUUCAAUAUUAACAGUGCAAUAUUACUACACCCUACUAGAAAUGCCUUUCACUCUCAUUUUACAUUUACAUAAUUAACGUGCAUUUAAAGAAUCAGAAAAAUUUACAAAUGACCAAAGAAAUAAAAAGAUAAAAGAAGAAAAAUGAAAUAAGUUGAAGAUACGAAUAGAUACAUCUCAUUUUCUGUGAAAAUUGCCUCUAUCAAUGAAAGAUGAAUUUAGUAUGAACUCAAUUUCAUAUAAUGAAGAAUUUAAGUAUUAUUAAAUUAAAUCUUUUUAUU
RNAcentral lists this unclassified non-coding RNA (1908 nucleotides) under Hevea brasiliensis (rubber tree). The record is from RNAcentral. Lineage: Eukaryota; Viridiplantae; Streptophyta; Magnoliopsida; Malpighiales; Euphorbiaceae.